GAGAAGGGCAGUAAGGCGGAAGCCUAGAGUCUACAUUCAGCACCAAAGCCUGCACCAUAGCAGAGAACAAUGAUGAAUGCAAGGUAUAUUAUCUAGAAAAUAUAUCGCUUCAACCUAAUGAUCCAUGAUGGUGUCAGCUCGAUUUGAUUCUGAAGGCUUCCUUUGCUCAAUAUAGGGAUUGUGACAUGUUUGGGUGGUCUGCAAUGUGGACUUGUACAUUUCAAGGAAUGCAAGGUAUAUUAUCUAGAAAUAGAUCGCUUCAACCCG
Long non-coding RNA from Triticum dicoccoides, 267 nucleotides. RefSeq lists it as uncharacterized. Lineage: Eukaryota; Viridiplantae; Streptophyta; Magnoliopsida; Poales; Poaceae. The record is from RefSeq and is a predicted model, not a curated record. The transcript has 4 exons.